RNAcentral lists this small nuclear RNA (102 nucleotides) under Neotoma lepida (desert woodrat). The record is from RNAcentral. Lineage: Eukaryota; Metazoa; Chordata; Mammalia; Rodentia; Cricetidae.
AUGCUCACUUGGUAGCACAUAUACUAAAAUUAGAAUGAUAAAGAGAAAAUUAUCAUGGCCCCUGCGCAAGCCAUGCAAAUUAAUGAAGCAUUCCAUAUUUUU